UUGCAGGGUAUAGACCCGAAACCCGGUGAUCUAGCCAUGGGCAGGUUGAAGGUUGGGUAACACUAACUGGAGGACCGAACCGACUAAUGUUGAAAAAUUAGCGGAUGACCUGUGGCUGGGGGUGAAAGGCCAAUCAAACCGGGAGAUAGCUGGUUCUCCCCGAAAGCUAUUUAGGUAGCGCCUCGUGAAUUCAUCUCCGGGGGUAGAGCACUGUUUCGGCUAGGGGGCCAUCCCGGCUUACCAACCCGAUGCAAACUGCGAAUACCGGAGAAUGUUAUCACGGGAGACACACGGCGGGUGCUAACGUCCGUCGUGAAGAGGGAAACAACCCAGACCGCCAGCUAAGGUCCCAAAGUCAUGGUUAAGUGGGAAACGAUGUGGGAAGGCCCAGACAGCCAGGAUGUUGGCUUAGAAGCAGCCAUCAUUUAAAGAAAGCGUAAUAGCUCACUGGUCGAGUCGGCCUGCGCGGAAGAUGUAACGGGGCUAAACCAUGCACCGAAGCUGCGGCAGCGACACUGUGUGUUGUUGGGUAGGGGAGCGUUCUGUAAGCCUGUGAAGGUGUGUCGUGAGGCAUGCUGGAGGUAUCAGAAGUGCGAAUGCUGACAUAAGUAACGAUAAAGCGGGUGAAAAGCCCGCUCGCCGGAAGACCAAGGGUUCCUGUCCAACGUUAAUCGGGGCAGGGUGAGUCGACCCCUAAGGCGAGGCCGAAAGGCGUAGUCGAUGGGAAACGGGUUAAUAUUCCCGUACUUGGUGUUACUGCGAAGGGGGGACGGAGAAGGCUAUGUUGGCCGGGCGACGGUUGUCCCGGUUUAAGCGUGUAGGUGUGUGUUCCAGGUAAAUCCGGUUCACUUUAACACUGAGGCGUGACGACGAGGCACUACGGUGCUGAAGCAACAAAUGCCCUGCUUCCAGGAAAAGCCUCUAAGCAUCAGGUAACAUCAAAUCGUACCCCAAACCGACACAGGUGGUCAGGUAGAGAAUACCAAGGCGCUUGAGAGAACUCGGGUGAAGGAACUAGGCAAAAUGGUGCCGUAACUUCGGGAGAAGGCACGCUGACACGUAGGUGAAGUGAUUUACUCAUGGAGCUGAAGUCAGUCGAAGAUACCAGCUGGCUGCAACUGUUUAUUAAAAACACAGCACUGUGCAAACACGAAAGUGGACGUAUACGGUGUGACGCCUGCCCGGUGCCGGAAGGUUAAUUGAUGGGGUCAGCGCAAGCGAAGCUCCUGAUCGAAGCCCCGGUAAACGGCGGCCGUAACUAUAACGGUCCUAAGGUAGCGAAAUUCCUUGUCGGGUAAGUUCCGACCUGCACGAAUGGCGUAAUGAUGGCCAGGCUGUCUCCACCCGAGACUCAGUGAAAUUGAACUCGCUGUGAAGAUGCAGUGUACCCGCGGCAAGACGGAAAGACCCCGUGAACCUUUACUAUAGCUUGACACUGAACAUUGAGCCUUGAUGUGUAGGAUAGGUGGGAGGCUUUGAAGUGUGGACGCCAGUCUGCAUGGAGCCGACCUUGAAAUACCACCCUUUAAUGUUUGAUGUUCUAACGUGGACCCGUUACCCGGGUUGCGGACAGUGUCUGGUGGGUAGUUUGACUGGGGCGGUCUCCUCCUAAAGAGUAACGGAGGAGCACGAAGGUUGGCUAAUCCUGGUCGGACAUCAGGAGGUUAGUGCAAUGGCAUAAGCCAGCUUGACUGCGAGCGUGACGGCGCGAGCAGGUGCGAAAGCAGGUCAUAGUGAUCCGGUGGUUCUGAAUGGAAGGGCCAUCGCUCAACGGAUAAAAGGUACUCCGGGGAUAACAGGCUGAUACCGCCCAAGAGUUCAUAUCGACGGCGGUGUUUGGCACCUCGAUGUCGGCUCAUCACAUCCUGGGGCUGAAGUAGGUCCCAAGGGUAUGGCUGUUCGCCAUUUAAAGUGGUACGCGAGCUGGGUUUAGAACGUCGUGAGACAGUUCGGUCCCUAUCUGCCGUGGGCGCUGGAGAACUGAGGGGGGCUGCUCCUAGUACGAGAGGACCGGAGUGGACGCAUCACUGGUGUUCGGGUUGUCAUGCCAAUGGCACUGCCCGGUAGCUAAAUGCGGAAGAGAUAAGUGCUGAAAGCAUCUAAGCACGAAACUUGCCCCGAGAUGAGUUCUCCCUGAGACUUAAAGUCUCCUGAAGGAACGUUGAAGACGACGACGU
RNAcentral lists this ribosomal RNA (2177 nucleotides) under Salmonella enterica subsp. enterica serovar Enteritidis. RNAcentral's name for it is "partial 23S ribosomal RNA". It matches the Rfam family "Bacterial large subunit ribosomal RNA", at positions 700 to 2853 of the family's 2925-position model. The record is from RNAcentral. Lineage: Bacteria; Pseudomonadati; Pseudomonadota; Gammaproteobacteria; Enterobacterales; Enterobacteriaceae.